Molecule: ribosomal RNA, 433 nt
Filed under: uncultured bacterium
Lineage: Bacteria
Description: partial 16S ribosomal RNA
Rfam family: Bacterial small subunit ribosomal RNA
Source: RNAcentral
AACGAACGCUGGCGGCAGGCCUAACACAUGCAAGUCGAGCGAGCAUUUCGGUGCUAGCGGCGGACGGGUGAGUAACGCGUGGGAACGUGCCCUUUUCUGCGGAAUAGUCCUGGGAAACUGGGGGUAAUACCGCAUACGCCCUUUCGGGGAAAGAUUUAUCGGAGCAGGAUCGGCCCGCGUUGGAUUAGGUAGUUGGUGGGGUAAUGGCCCACCAAGCCGACGAUCCAUAGCUGGUGUGAGAGGAUGAUCAGCCACACUGGGACUGAGACACGGCCCAGACUCCUACGGGAGGCAGCAGUGGGGAAUCUUAGACAAUGGGGGCAACCCUGAUCUAGCCAUGCCGCGUGAGUGAUGAAGGCCUUAGGGUUGUAAAGCUCUUUCAGCUGGGAAGAUAAUGACGGUACCAGCAGAAGAAGCCCCGGCUAACUCCGUG